AUACGUACUGUGCGAACGUUAUUCGGAAUCACUGGGCUUAAAGGGUGCGUAGGCGGCCAGAUAAGUAGGAUGUGAAAUCCCCCGGCUUAACCGGGGAACUGCGUUCUAAACUGUUUGGCUUGAGUAAGAUAGGGGUGUGCGGAACUUCCGGUGGAGCGGUGAAAUGUGUUGAGAUCGGAAGGAACACCAGUAGCGAAGGCGGCACACUGGGUCUUAACUGACGCUGAGGCACGAAAGCUAGGGUAGCGAACGGGAUUAGAUACCCUAGUAGUCC
This 274-nucleotide ribosomal RNA is filed under the name uncultured bacterium. RNAcentral describes it as "partial 16S ribosomal RNA". It matches the Rfam family "Bacterial small subunit ribosomal RNA", at positions 523 to 796 of the family's 1533-position model. The record is from RNAcentral.